GCCCUCAUAGCUCAGUGGUAGAGCGCGUCCUUGGUAAGGACGAGGUCUCGAGUUCGAGUCUCGAUGAGGGCUCCA
Molecule: transfer RNA, 75 nt
Filed under: Chloroflexota bacterium
Lineage: Bacteria; Bacillati; Chloroflexota
Also listed under: 1 other name
Description: tRNA-Thr
Rfam family: tRNA
About the family: Transfer RNA (tRNA) molecules are approximately 80 nucleotides in length. Their secondary structure includes four short double-helical elements and three loops (D, anti-codon, and T loops). Further hydrogen bonds mediate the characteristic L-shaped molecular structure. tRNAs have two regions of fundamental functional importance: the anti-codon, which is responsible for specific mRNA codon recognition, and the 3' end, to which the tRNAs corresponding amino acid is attached (by aminoacyl-tRNA synthetases). tRNAs cope with the degeneracy of the genetic code in two manners: having more than one tRNA (with a specific anti-codon) for a particular amino acid; and 'wobble' base-pairing, i.e. permitting non-standard base-pairing at the 3rd anti-codon position.
Source: RNAcentral